AAGAUAUUAGUAAAGUAAUUACAUGACUUUGUCAAAGUCAAAUCAUAGAUUAAUUAUCUAUAUAUCUUA
RNAcentral lists this transfer RNA (69 nucleotides) under Saguinus oedipus (cotton-top tamarin). Its description in RNAcentral is "tRNA-Asp". Lineage: Eukaryota; Metazoa; Chordata; Mammalia; Primates; Cebidae. RNAcentral also lists the same sequence under 3 other names. The record is from RNAcentral.